CAGCAGCCUCUGCAGCUGCUCAGGGGGUCAGAUGUACAUCACAUGACCACUGUCAGGUGGUACAGCAAGUGACAGUUGAAAAGUGAGCAGCAGUUGGGCAGGGGGGCCCUGAGGUAAAUGCUGUGGGAGACUGACUGUGCUGUGAGGGGACAGCUGGCAGUGCCUGUGAGUGAGAGCAGAGUUUGAGCUGUGACCCUCUCAGGAGUCCUGGUGACGUCGGGCGUAAGGUGUCACUGAUCCGCCCCAGAGGGCAAGUAGAUGUAGAGCCCAUCGACCGAGGUCCAGUACGGAGGAAUGGCCUGCUCCAGAUUGAUAGCCGCAGGCUGAGAGAGGCAGAUUGUGAGGCGGAUCCACUCGCCAUAUAAGGCUGCAGGAGGCCAGUUACAGCCGAGACAACUGGAGAGAUAUUUACACAAAAAGAUACUUGGGGCUACUAAUACGUGAGCAAGCCACAUGAAGCUACCAGUGGGAGAAGCAGCUGGUCCUGAGAUCUACACCUACAGUCCUGAGUGUUUGUUCCUGUGACAGUACACCGAUAAGCAAUAAUACCCAGUUUUCUAUUUUUUUAAGCAAACCACAAAAUCCAUUUCAAGGGGAAAUCACUAAUCAAUCUCACUGGCUAAGGGUUACCGGCUAUGUGUCUUUUACUGUGGAAUAAAAAUUAUGUUUUUAUAAAAAACGUGCCUGAA
Long non-coding RNA from Pseudophryne corroboree (corroboree frog), 689 nucleotides. RefSeq lists it as uncharacterized. The record is from RefSeq and is a predicted model, not a curated record. The transcript is spliced from 2 exons. NCBI's taxonomy places the organism in Eukaryota, Metazoa, Chordata, Amphibia, Anura, Myobatrachidae.